RNAcentral lists this ribosomal RNA (655 nucleotides) under uncultured bacterium. RNAcentral's name for it is "bacterial SSU rRNA". It matches the Rfam family "Bacterial small subunit ribosomal RNA", at positions 365 to 1034 of the family's 1533-position model. The record is from RNAcentral.
UUGACAUGGGGGCACUUAUCUUAUGCGGUGAUGAAGAAGGCCUUCGGGUUGUAAAGCUCUUUUGUCAGGAAGAACACCGGCUCUAACACAGUCCGGGAAUGACGGUACCUGAAGAAUAGCACCGGCUAACUACGUGCCACAGCCGCGGUAAUAGUAGGGUGGAGCGUAAUCGGAAUUACUGGGCGUAAAGCGUGCGCAGGCGGUUAUACAAGACAGGCGUGAAAUCCCCGGGCUUAACCUGGGAAUGGCGCCUGUGACUGUAUAGCUAGAGUGUGUCAGAGGGGGGUAGAAUUCCACGUGUAGCAGUGAAAUGCGUAGAUAUGUGGAGGAAUACCAAUGGCGAAGGCAGCCCCCUGGGAUAACACUGACGCUCAUGCACGAAAGCGUGGGGAGCAAACAGGAUUAGAUACCCUGGUAGUCCACGCCCUAAACGAUGCUGACUAGUUGUUCGGGAUUUACAUCCUGAGUAACGUAGCUAACGCGUGAAGUCAGUCGACUGGGGAGUACGGUCGCAAGAUUAAAACUCAAAGGACUUGACGGGGACCCGNACAAGCGGUGGAUGAUGUGGAUUAAUUCGAUGCAACGCGAAAAACCUUAGCUACCCUUGACAUGUCACUAACGAAGUAGAGAUACAUUAGGUGCUCGUAAGAGAACG